GAUGAACGCUGGCGGCGUGCCUAAUACAUGCAAGUCGAGCGAACGGACGAGAAGCUUGCUUCUCUGAUGUUAGCGGCGGACGGGUGAGUAACACGUGGAUAACCUACCUAUAAGACUGGGAUAACUUCGGGAAACCGGAGCUAAUACCGGAUAAUAUUUUGAACCGCAUGGUUCAAAAGUGAAAGACGGUCUUGCUGUCACUUAUAGAUGGAUCCGCGCUGCAUUAGCUAGUUGGUAAGGUAACGGCUUACCAAGGCAACGAUGCAUAGCCGACCUGAGAGGGUGAUCGGCCACACUGGAACUGAGACACGGUCCAGACUCCUACGGGAGGCAGCAGUAGGGAAUCUUCCGCAAUGGGCGAAAGCCUGACGGAGCAACGCCGCGUGAGUGAUGAAGGUCUUCGGAUCGUAAAACUCUGUUAUUAGGGAAGAACAUAUGUGUAAGUAACUGUGCACAUCUUGACGGUACCUAAUCAGAAAGCCACGGCUAACUACGUGCCAGCAGCCGCGGUAAUACGUAGGUGGCAAGCGUUAUCCGGAAUUAUUGGGCGUAAAGCGCGCGUAGGCGGUUUUUUAAGUCUGAUGUGAAAGCCCACGGCUCAACCGUGGAGGGUCAUUGGAAACUGGAAAACUUGAGUGCAGAAGAGGAAAGUGGAAUUCCAUGUGUAGCGGUGAAAUGCGCAGAGAUAUGGAGGAACACCAGUGGCGAAGGCGACUUUCUGGUCUGUAACUGACGCUGAUGUGCGAAAGCGUGGGGAUCAAACAGGAUUAGAUACCCUGGUAGUCCACGCCGUAAACGAUGAGUGCUAAGUGUUAGGGGGUUUCCGCCCCUUAGUGCUGCAGCUAACGCAUUAAGCACUCCGCCUGGGGAGUACGACCGCAAGGUUGAAACUCAAAGGAAUUGACGGGGACCCGCACAAGCGGUGGAGCAUGUGGUUUAAUUCGAAGCAACGCGAAGAACCUUACCAAAUCUUGACAUCCUUUGACAACUCUAGAGAUAGAGCUUUCCCCUUCGGGGGACAAAGUGACAGGUGGUGCAUGGUUGUCGUCAGCUCGUGUCGUGAGAUGUUGGGUUAAGUCCCGCAACGAGCGCAACCCUUAAGCUUAGUUGCCAUCAUUAAGUUGGGCACUCUAAGUUGACUGCCGGUGACAAACCGGAGGAAGGUGGGGAUGACGUCAAAUCAUCAUGCCCCUUAUGAUUUGGGCUACACACGUGCUACAAUGGACAAUACAAAGGGCAGCGAAACCGCGAGGUCAAGCAAAUCCCAUAAAGUUGUUCUCAGUUCGGAUUGUAGUCUGCAACUCGACUACAUGAAGCUGGAAUCGCUAGUAAUCGUAGAUCAGCACGCUACGGUGAAUACGUUCCCGGGUCU
RNAcentral lists this ribosomal RNA (1372 nucleotides) under uncultured bacterium. Its description in RNAcentral is "bacterial SSU rRNA". It matches the Rfam family "Bacterial small subunit ribosomal RNA", at positions 28 to 1381 of the family's 1533-position model. The record is from RNAcentral.